Molecule: long non-coding RNA, 933 nt
Organism: Balaenoptera acutorostrata (minke whale)
Lineage: Eukaryota; Metazoa; Chordata; Mammalia; Artiodactyla; Balaenopteridae
Exons: 4
Source: RefSeq, a predicted model, not a curated record
AAAAGAUUGAGGUUGAAAAAAAUCAAAAGAGAAAAUUUCUUUGGAAAAAAUGCUGAGUAUUUUACUUCUCCUUGGAUGAAGAUCUAAGGAGAUUCUGAAGGCUUUUAAUUUGAGCAAUGAUAUCAUCAUAUUCUGGGAUUUUCAUCUUUGAUCAUUUUGGGCAGCAAUUGUGACGAAUAGAUUGAAUAAGGAAGAAACUAGAAAUAGGAAAACCAAUGAAGAGGCAAAGGAGUAUUAUUCAGUGCUAAAAAGAAAUAAGCUAUAAAGCCAUGAAAAAGAGGGAACUGAAACUCAUAUUACUAAACAGAAGAAGCCAAUUUUAAAAGGCUAUAUACUGUAUGAUUCCAACCAUAUGACAUCCUGGAAAAGGUAAAACUAUGGCAACAGUAAAAAGGUGAUGAAACCUACCAUAUCAUAGCGUGAGGAGCCAGGGGCACAGUUGGAAUGCGUUUCCAUUCAAGAACAAUGGUGGAUUCCAUCCUGGUGGGACCACAGCAUGCCCUACAGAGGGGCAUCCUUGGCUCCAGCCCUUGUAGAGUCAAUAUGGCCUCCCCAGGUCUCUUGGAUAAAGUUACAUAAAGCUUCAUUCUUAGUGUUUCUCUCAUUUCUUUAGUUUUCAAACAUGAAUAGGGCCAGAGUCACAGCAUGACUGCCUCUUUAGUUACAAACGUCCCCUUCCUGUUGAGGAGACUGCUUAGUGGUGCAGGCUGGAGAUCACACCCAGGUCUACACUAACUCAGCAACUCAAAAGCCAAGCAGAAGGAAUCACAGGCCAACCUCUCCUCACUCCAUGUAAAUCUGCUUCGGCUCAGCUGGGUGUCCGGUGGACUGAGUCAUGUAAUUACCCCAUGGGAAACAGCCCCACGAAGAUGGUACUGCAUUUAAAUACCAUGAACAGAUCCUGUAAGCUCCAUUAUUUAUUUUAAUAAAACA